CCUACGGGAGGCAGCAGUAGGGAAUCUUCCGCAAUGGACGAAAGUCUGACGGAGCAACGCCGCGUGAACGAAGAAGGCCUUCGGGUCGUAAAGUUCUGUUGUUAGGGAAGAACAAGUACCAGAGUAACUGCUGGUACCUUGACGGUACCUAACCAGAAAGCCACGGCUAACUACGUGCCAGCAGCCGCGGUAAUACGUAGGUGGCAAGCGUUGUCCGGAAUUAUUGGGCGUAAAGCGCGCGCAGGUGGUUCCUUAAGUCUGAUGUGAAAGCCCACGGCUCAACCGUGGAGGGUCAUUGGAAACUGGGGAACUUGAGUGCAGAAGAGGAAAGUGGAAUUCCAAGUGUAGCGGUGAAAUGCGUAGAGAUUUGGAGGAACACCAGUGGCGAAGGCGACUUUCUGGUCUGUAACUGACACUGAGGCGCGAAAGCGUGGGGAGCAAACAGGAUUAGAUACCCUGGUAGUCCACGCCGUAAACGAUGAGUGCUAAGUGUUAGAGGGUUUCCGCCCUUUAGUGCUGCNGCUACGACAUAAGCACUCCGCCGUGGGAGGUACGGCCGGCGAGGCGUGUAACGUACGAAAGUUAAAGUUAGUACGGCGUUGAGACGUUGCCGACGGACGACGACGAGGGGAGGUUAGG
Molecule: ribosomal RNA, 639 nt
Filed under: uncultured bacterium
Lineage: Bacteria
Description: bacterial SSU rRNA
Rfam family: Bacterial small subunit ribosomal RNA (bases 1-543)
Source: RNAcentral